GCCUACGGGAGGCUGCAGUGGGGAAUAUUGCACAAUGGGCGCAAGCCUGAUGCAGCGACGCCGCGUGCGGGAUGACGGCCUUCGGGUUGUAAACCGCUUUUGAUCGGGAGCAAGCCUUCGGGUGAGUGUACCUUUCGAAUAAGCACCGGCUAACUACGUGCCAGCAGCCGCGGUAAUACGUAGGGUGCAAGCGUUAUCCGGAAUUAUUGGGCGUAAAGGGCUCGUAGGCGGUUCGUCGCGUCCGGUGUGAAAGUCCAUCGCUUAACGGUGGAUCUGCGCCGGGUACGGGCGGGCUGGAGUGCGGUAGGGGAGACUGGAAUUCCCGGUGUAACGGUGGAAUGUGUAGAUAUCGGGAAGAACACCAAUGGCGAAGGCAGGUCUCUGGGCCGUUACUGACGCUGAGGAGCGAAAGCGUGGGGAGCGAACAGGAUUAGAUACCCGUGUAGUCC
Molecule: ribosomal RNA, 449 nt
Filed under: uncultured Bifidobacterium sp.
Lineage: Bacteria; Bacillati; Actinomycetota; Actinomycetes; Bifidobacteriales; Bifidobacteriaceae
Description: bacterial SSU rRNA
Rfam family: Bacterial small subunit ribosomal RNA
Source: RNAcentral